This 268-nucleotide long non-coding RNA is filed under the name Phoenix dactylifera (date palm). RNAcentral's name for it is "long non-coding RNA (PDAC_LNC017869)". Lineage: Eukaryota; Viridiplantae; Streptophyta; Magnoliopsida; Arecales; Arecaceae. The record is from RNAcentral.
GAGUCGACUCGAGGACUAUUCUUUUGGAUUUUCCUUUGAAUUUGCUCUUCCAACUUGAGUCCUUUGAACUUGAAACUUGGGUCAAUAAAUUGUAGCUUUCUUCCAACUUUUCUUGAGAGCUUUGGAGGCCUUCUUGUGUUCUUCCAACUUGCUAUAUUCCUUGCAAAAUAACUAUCUUUCUUCUUGCAACACAAACGUUAGUAUUUAUACUUCAAGGUUUUGUGAUCAUCAAAAUCAAUCUUUAAAUCAAUCUUUGGGUCAUCAGUCU